RNAcentral lists this long non-coding RNA (1747 nucleotides) under Malus domestica (apple). Its description in RNAcentral is "long non-coding RNA (MDOM_LNC003762)". Lineage: Eukaryota; Viridiplantae; Streptophyta; Magnoliopsida; Rosales; Rosaceae. The record is from RNAcentral.
GGCAAAAGAAUAUCUCUCUAAAAUCCCUACAAAGGCCGGCCACCAAAGAGGGUGAUUUAGCUAACAAUCUUUCACCCUUUUGGUUAUUCCUUCAUCCUUCUCACUACACUAGUGGGUGAGGAUCUUUAGAGGUUUCCUACUUUGGGAACUUGAAGAGAACCUAGGAGCACUCAUUGUAACAAAGUGGAGGAGGUAAGGAAGGAAGCUAGGCUCAAGGAGUUCAAGGAACAAAGGGCUUGGAGGUGGUCCAUCCUUGGUCUCAAGUCUAGAUCAAGAGGUAUAAGACUAAACCUUCACUUUGUUUUUUUUCUCUAAAAUUUUAUUUGAUGCAUUAUAUAUAAACCUAUGAACCUUAAAGGGGAUUUGCAUGACUAUAGCUUUGAUAAUAUGUUAUAAAUGCUUCCGCUGCUUUCGUAUAUCUAAUGUGUCCUUUUGGAUAUGCAUGAUAGUCAUUUAGAAAUCCCGUACAUGAAUCUCAUAGAUUUCCCUUCAAGUGGUAUCAGAGCCAAAGGUUUAUGUAUAAUGUGUCCUUUUGGAUUUAUGCAUAUGGGUAUUAAUGUUAUGUAUGACAUAUUAUUGUUUCAUUCAAAGUAUGUUUAUCUUUUGUUUUUCAAUAGUUGAAAAAUGUUAGUCAAAAGUUGAGAAAGAUAUGUAUGCAAAAGUGUUUUGUAUGCAUGAAUGAAAAAUGAGUUUAGAACUAGUAUGACAUAUUAUUUCUUCAUUUAAAAGUAUGUUUAUCUUUUGUUUUUCAAUGGUUGAAAAAUAUAAAUCAAGAGUUGAAAAGAUAUGCAUGUAAAAGUUGUUUUGUAUGCAUGAAUGAAGAAUAAGUCAUGAACAAAAUUUGGGGUUUUUUGUUCUUUGUGGUUGGCACGGUUUUGGGGGUGGUUUUGGGUUGUGUUUGUGUUUUAUUGUAAACCACUCACACAUCCUUUUAAAGCUUGAAAGAAGUGUUUUUGUCACUUUUGUUUUUGGGUUUGAAAAAUCACCAAGAAUACAAAAAUCUUGAAAAAGUGUUCAUGGUUUUGUUCUUGGUGUUCAUAGUUUGGUUUUUGGUGAAAAUGGUUUUAAUUAAUUUUCUUGUAUUAUUUUGUGGUUUUGGAUGAUGUUCUUACCAUCCAUAACCAUAUAAUAAGUUUAUUAAACCCUAGACUUGACUAGGAGAUUUCCAUCAAACCUUUUCACCUAAGUUUUAAUGCCAAAACCAAGUGACAAGCAAAAUUUUGUUUUUUUCUACUUUGCAUUGAAUUUAUGCAUGUGGGUGAGACUUCCCAUUCCCCCAUUAAGUGGCCGGCCUCCCCUAGUGGAUUUAUCCACUUGUGGGGCUUUUUUUUUUGUAAUCUUGAAAAAGAUAUUUUAUACUUUUGAGUAUUUACGGUUUGACCCUUAACUUUUUCAUAUUUGCAUUUAAGCCCCUACUAACUAGAAAGUUAAAAUAUUUGAUUUUAAUUUUGUUAGUUGUUUAAACUCAUAAUACUAUUAUGCCCAUAUGCACUAAAUCUAAAUGUUUAUGUUGCAUUCCAUUUAAUUAUUUAAAUGUGUUUAAGUAGUUAUGAAAUGGAUGACUUUGGACUUAUGCCUUAAACGAUAAUUGAGCUAUGAGAUAAGGCGCUAAAAUCAAAUUGUUUGAACCUUGGGAAUGUGUUUUAAUUACUGUUUAAUUGGACCUUGUCACAUUUGACGUUAAUCUUUCUCUCCCCUUUUAGUAUAUGUAAUUUAUAGGAAUUUGUACAAAUCGGUUUGUAAUUCU